AGGAAGUUCCACUGGUUCUACUUCAGAUAUCCAGACCAACACCGCCUGGGAUUUUGUGAUUCCUCUGGGCUCGCGGGAGAGCAAGAGGACAGAGCCGCCGCAGUCAGAAAAUGGAGAGGGGGGAGGAGGAAGGGGAGGGAGGCAUGUGGAGCAUCAUGUGAACCAGCACACCACCACCAGUCAGCCAGCGGCAGCAGCAGGCUCGUUGAGUAGCAGCAACGCAACAGCCCAACUACUGGAGUUUCAAGGCCCGUACCCCCCGUGUGAUCCGACGCAACCCCGACCAGCCGGCUCUAGCCGACCAGGCCAGCAGGGUGUCCUUUGCCUCGGCUGAGAGUCUGGAAACCAUGUCUGAGGCCGACGUUCCCCUCGGGUUCAACCGCAUGAACCGCCUCCGCCAGAGCCUGCCCCUGGCGCGCUCAUCCAGCCAGGCCAAGCUCCACGC
Molecule: non-coding RNA, 445 nt
Organism: Salvelinus sp. IW2-2015
Lineage: Eukaryota; Metazoa; Chordata; Actinopteri; Salmoniformes; Salmonidae
Source: RefSeq, a predicted model, not a curated record